GACGAACGCUGGCGGCGUGCUUAACACAUGCAAGUCGAACGGUAAGGCCCUUCGGGGUACACGAGUGGCGAACGGGUGAGUAACACGUGGGUGAUCUGCCCUGCACUUCGGGAUAAGCCUGGGAAACUGUAGCUAAUACCGGAUACGAGACCUUGGGGCAUCCCAGGGUCUGGAAAGAAUUUCGGUGAAGGAUGAGCUCGCGGCCUAUCAGCUAGUUGGUGAGGUAAUGGCUCACCAAGGCGACGACGGGUAGCCGGCCUGAGAGGGGGACCGGCCACACUGGGACCGAGACACGGCCCAGACUCCUACGGGAGGCAGCAGUGGGGAAUAUUGCACAAUGGGCGAAAGCCUGAUGCAGCAACGCCGCGUGAGGGAUGAAGGCCUUCGGGUUGUAAACCUCUUUUAGUAGGGAAGAAGCGCAAGUGACGGUACCUACAGAAAAAGCACCGGCUAACUACGUGCCAGCCGCCGCAGUAA
This 477-nucleotide ribosomal RNA is filed under the name uncultured bacterium. RNAcentral's name for it is "partial 16S ribosomal RNA". It matches the Rfam family "Bacterial small subunit ribosomal RNA", at positions 28 to 523 of the family's 1533-position model. The record is from RNAcentral.